CCUACGGGGCGCACCAGUAGGGAAUCUUCGGCAAUGGACGAAAGUCUGACCGAGCAACGCCGCGUGAGUGAAGAAGGUUUUCGGAUCGUAAAACUCUGUUGUUAGAGAAGAACAAGUAGGAGAGUAACUGCUCUUACCUUGACGGUAUCUAACCAGAAAGCCACCGCUAACUACGUGCCAGCAGCCGCGGUAAUACGUAGGUGGCAAGCGUUGUCCGGAUUUAUUGGGCGUAAAGCGAGCGCAGGCGGUCUUUUAAGUCUGAUGUGAAAGCCCUCGGCUCAACCGAGGAAGGUCAUUGGAAACUGGAGGACUUGAGUGCGGAAGAGGAGAGUGGAAUUCCACGUGUAGCGGUGAAAUGCGUAGGUAUAUGGAGGAACACCAGUGGCGAAGGCGACUCUCUGGUCUGUAACUGACGCUGAGGCUCGAAAGCGUGGGGAGCUAACAGGAUUAGAUACCCGGGUAGUC
This 465-nucleotide ribosomal RNA is filed under the name uncultured bacterium. Its description in RNAcentral is "bacterial SSU rRNA". It matches the Rfam family "Bacterial small subunit ribosomal RNA", at positions 338 to 795 of the family's 1533-position model. The record is from RNAcentral.